ACACGACUACAUUAGAUACCCGGGUAGUCCUAGCCGUAAACGAUACUCGCUAGGUGUCGGCCACGGUGCGACCGUUGUCGGUGCCGUAGGGAAGCCGUGAAGCGAGCCACCUGGGAAGUACGGCCGCAAGGCUGAAACUUAAGGAAUUGGCGGGGAGCACAACAACGGGUGGAGCUUGCGGUUUAAUUGGAUUCAACGCCGGAAAUCUUACCGGGACCGACAGCAACAUGAAGGCCAAGCUGAAGACUUUGCCGGAUUAGCUG
RNAcentral lists this ribosomal RNA (263 nucleotides) under uncultured archaeon. Its description in RNAcentral is "partial 16S ribosomal RNA". It matches the Rfam family "Archaeal small subunit ribosomal RNA", at positions 717 to 982 of the family's 1478-position model. The record is from RNAcentral.